AACGAACGCUGGCGGCAGGCCUAACACAUGCAAGUCGAACGCUCCGCAAGGGGAGUGGCGCACGGGUGAGUAACACGUGGGAACCUACCUUCUGGUACGGAACAACCAAGGGAAACUUUGGCUAAAACCGUAUACGACCUCCGGGUGAAAGAUUGAUCGCCGGAAGAGGGGCCCGCGUCCGAUUAGGUAGUUGGUGAGGUAACGGCUCACCAAGCCUACGAUCGGUAGCUGGUCUGAGAGGAUGGCCAGCCACACUGGGACUGAGACACGGCCCAGACUCCUACGGGAGGCAGCAGUGGGGAAUAUUGGACAAUGGGCGCAAGCCUGAUCCAGCCAUGCCGCGUGAGUGAUGAAGGCCUUCGGUUG
Molecule: ribosomal RNA, 366 nt
Filed under: uncultured bacterium
Lineage: Bacteria
Description: bacterial SSU rRNA
Rfam family: Bacterial small subunit ribosomal RNA
Source: RNAcentral